RNAcentral lists this ribosomal RNA (468 nucleotides) under uncultured bacterium. RNAcentral describes it as "partial 16S ribosomal RNA". It matches the Rfam family "Bacterial small subunit ribosomal RNA", at positions 28 to 507 of the family's 1533-position model. The record is from RNAcentral.
GACGAACGCUGGCGGCGUGCUUAACACAUGCAAGUCGAACGGAAAGGCCCUGCUUUUGUGGGGUGCUCGAGUGGCGAACGGGUGAGUAACACGUGAGUAACCUGCCCUUGACUUUGGGAUAACUUCAGGAAACUGGGGCUAAUACCGGAUAGGAGCUCCUGCUGCAUGGUGGGGGUUGGAAAGUUUCGGCGGUUGGGGAUGGACUCGCGGCGUAUCAGCUUGUUGGUGGGGUAGUGGCUUACCAAGGCUUUGACGGGUAGCCGGCCUGAGAGGGUGACCGGCCACAUUGGGACUGAGAUACGGCCCAGACUACUACGGGAGGCAGCAGUGGGGAAUAUUACACAAUGGGCGGAAGCCUGAUGCAGCAACGCCGCGUGCGGGAUGACGGCCUUCGGGUUGUAAACCGCUUUCGCCUGUGACGAAGCGUGAGUGACGGUAAUGGGUAAAGAAGCACCGGCUAACUACGUG